Non-coding RNA from Vicia faba (fava bean), 416 nucleotides. Lineage: Eukaryota; Viridiplantae; Streptophyta; Magnoliopsida; Fabales; Fabaceae. The record is from the annotation of a GenBank genome assembly.
UGGAGAAGAAGGCUAUCGGAACCAAACAAAAACGAGACACAGAGAAACUAAAUCCAGAAACACACUACUCCCUCUCACGUUCUCGUUCUCACCAUCUCCAUCUUCAUGCACUAUCCCAACGUCGCGACCUCCACCUGCCAUACUACCACCAAACUCACCUUUCCACUCAGUGCUUCCUUUCACCCUCUGUAUUUCGACUUCCAACCUCCGCUAGCUUCGCUCUGUUCAUCCACCCACAUCAACACAUCUCCAAACAACAUCCAUUUCCGCUCAUCGUUCCUCCACAAUCUGCUCAAAUCUGGCCGCAUCGUGUCAUUUCUGCGACUCAUUCACGGACCAUGCAACAACAACCUGCGAUAAACUUAUCCCCUCCACCAUAUGUCCAUCGUCUCUUCUCUGUGGCCAAUACCUUCUAG